AGGUCGCCAGGUCGGAAGAGUUUGCCUUUGACCCUUGACUCAAAAUAUCUAGUUGCUUUCUGCUGGUACGCCUCCAUGCAGAUUUAAGCUUCUCUGAUUUUUUUCUGCAGGUUGCGGUUUGCCUAAAGCUGAUCUAAAUUUGUUGAGUCAUCGAAGCUUUCCACCCGAAGCGAUGGAAGUACGAUCUCCAAUGAGAUUACUGCCUCCAUUCCAACGGCAAGGUUGAAAGGUGUCUCCCCGGUAGAGAACUGAGACGUUGUUCGGUAUGCCCACAAGAUAUUGGGGAGAUCUUUGGCCCACAUUCUUUUUGCUCAAUCCAGUCCCGCCU
This 328-nucleotide long non-coding RNA is filed under the name Phoenix dactylifera (date palm). RNAcentral describes it as "long non-coding RNA (PDAC_LNC003573)". Lineage: Eukaryota; Viridiplantae; Streptophyta; Magnoliopsida; Arecales; Arecaceae. The record is from RNAcentral.